This 465-nucleotide ribosomal RNA is filed under the name Vreelandella stevensii. RNAcentral's name for it is "partial 16S ribosomal RNA". It matches the Rfam family "Bacterial small subunit ribosomal RNA", at positions 338 to 795 of the family's 1533-position model. The record is from RNAcentral. Lineage: Bacteria; Pseudomonadati; Pseudomonadota; Gammaproteobacteria; Oceanospirillales; Halomonadaceae.
CCUACGGGAGGCUGCAGUGGGGAAUAUUGGACAAUGGGCGAAAGCCUGAUCCAGCCAUGCCGCGUGUGUGAAGAAGGCCUUCGGGUUGUAAAGCACUUUCAGUGGGGAAGAAAGCCUUGGGGCUAAUACCCUCGAGGAAGGACAUCACCCACAGAAGUAGCACCGGCUAACUCCGUGCCAGCAGCCGCGGUAAUACGGAGGGUGCGAGCGUUAAUCGGAAUUACUGGGCGUAAAGCGCGCGUAGGCGGUCUGAUAAGCCGGUUGUGAAAGCCCCGGGCUCAACCUGGGAACGGCAUCCGGAACUGUCAGGCUAGAGUGCAGGAGAGGAAGGUAGAAUUCCCGGUGUAGCGGUGAAAUGCGUAGAGAUCAGGAGGAAUACCAGUGGCGAAGGCGGCCUUCUGGACUGACACUGACGCUGAGGUGCGAAAGCGUGGGUAGCAAACAGGAUUAGAUACCCCUGUAGUC